This 333-nucleotide ribosomal RNA is filed under the name uncultured bacterium. RNAcentral's name for it is "partial 16S ribosomal RNA". It matches the Rfam family "Bacterial small subunit ribosomal RNA", at positions 338 to 668 of the family's 1533-position model. The record is from RNAcentral.
GCUACGGGGGGCAGCAGUGAGGAAUAUUGGUCAAUGGACGGAAGUCUGAACCAGCCAUGCCGCGUGCAGGAAGACGGCUCUAUGAGUUGUAAACUGCUUUUGUACAAGGGUAAACCUGAAUACGUGUAUUCAGCUGAAAGUACGGUACGAAUAAGGAUCGGCUAACUCCGUGCCAGCAGCCGCGGUAAUACGGAGGAUCCAAGCGUUAUCCGGAUUUAUUGGGGUUAAAGGGUGCGUAGGCGGUUUGAUAAGUUAGAGGGGAAAUGUCCGAGCUUAACCCGGGAACUGCCUCUAAUACUGUUGCUCUAGAGUGUAGAUGCGGUAGGCGGCUUG